This is a long non-coding RNA of Nanorana parkeri, 245 nucleotides long. RefSeq lists it as uncharacterized. The transcript has 4 exons. The record is from RefSeq and is a predicted model, not a curated record. NCBI's taxonomy places the organism in Eukaryota, Metazoa, Chordata, Amphibia, Anura, Dicroglossidae.
UUUUGUACAGGAGGUGUCACAAGCCCGGAGAACGGAACUCACAGCCGGAGUCCCCAUGGGGAGGAACAAGAGGAGCUGCCUGGGAGCUGCGCUCAUCUUCCUUCUGCUGCAGAUUACGGGAUCAUUGGCAAAUUGGGAGAUCUGCCGCUAUGAUUUUGCUGAUAAGGAAUACCAUUUCUCGGUGCCCAGAUCCCUGGAGCCUGGCAUGUUGGUGGGGAAAGUGCUUUUUGAAUGGCAACGCAAAC